AGAGUUUGAUCAUGGCUCAGAAUCAACGCUGGCGGCGCGCUUAACACAUGCAAGUCGAACGAGAAAGCGGGAGCAAUCCUGCAAGUACAGUGGCGUACGGGUGAGUAACACGUGGAUUAUCUGCCCUGGAGUGGGGAAUAACGCUGGGAAACCGGCGCUAAUACCGCAUAUUCCCGAGAGGGGAAAGCAGCAAUGCGCUCGAGGAGGAGUCCGCGGCUGAUUAGCUAGUUGGUAGGGUAACGGCCUACCAAGGCUAUGAUCGGUAGCCGGCCUGAGAGGGCACACGGCCACACUGGCACUGAAACACGGGCCAGACUCCUACGGGAGGCAGCAGUGGGGAAUCUUGCACAAUGGGGGCAACCCUGAUGCAGCGACGCCGCGUGAGCGAUGAAGCCCUUCGGGGUGUAAAGCUCUUUCGGCAGGGAAGAUUAUGACGGUACCUGCAGAAGCAGCUGCGGCUAACUACGUGCCAGCAGCCGCGGUAAUACGUAGGCAGCAAGCGUUGUUCGGAGUUACUGGGCGUAAAGGGUGUGUAGGCGGCCUUCUAAGUUUGGUGUGAAAUCUCCCGGCUCAACCGGGAGGGUGCGCCGAAGACUGGGGGGCUAGAGUGCGGGAUGGGAGAGUAGAAUUCCUGGUGUAGCGGUGAAAUGCGUAGAUAUCAGGAGGAAUACCUGUGGUGUAGACGGCUCUCUGGACCGCAACUGACGCUGAGACACGAAAGCGUGGGUAGCAAACAGGAUUAGAUACCCUAGUAGUCC
RNAcentral lists this ribosomal RNA (758 nucleotides) under uncultured bacterium. RNAcentral describes it as "bacterial SSU rRNA". It matches the Rfam family "Bacterial small subunit ribosomal RNA", at positions 8 to 796 of the family's 1533-position model. The record is from RNAcentral.